GGUUUUGAUUGUAGGUGUGUCACCCAAGCAUCUAUCCUACAGGUGCGGGGGUUAUCAUUCAGGGGUUGAACUGCAUGUAGGAAGCUAUUUCUGGAUUUUAACCUCUUUGGUACCUGGACGUGUUGGAAGAGUGGGUGACGAGGGUCAUCCUCCUGCUUGGUGCGUUCCACUCUUGAGGAUACCGCUCUUCUGAUUUGAGGGGGUGCAAUACCACACAGCAGGAGGCAGCAUUGUAUCCCGGGUUAUCAUGCCGGUGCUAUCGUCACUUCUGCAACAUUACAACAAUAAAUCAAGCUAUAGCAAGGUCUCGAAGGAAGAAAGACGCUGAAAAGCCUAAAGCAGGUGAAUCGCCUCAAGAGGCAGUUCCUGAUGGCGAAGCAGAUGAGCCGGCCCCAAAGAGACUGCUUCGGUCCGUGACAAGUGACGGUCAACAAACAGCCACUCUCUCACUACAAAAGAUUUGGAAUCUGAUGAAGAAUAUUCAGACGAAGUGUAGAUGGAAUGUAAACCAAACGAUUGGGAAAAUAAAUGAUUAUAUAAAGUCUACUUUUAGUGUUUUACUGUUUAUUGUGUCUAAUUAUUUAAACAAUGAGUGAAUGGCUUAUGAUUAUGGCGUACUGGUGAAUAACAUGAUGUGCUGCUUUUGUGCUGGAUGCUAAAAAUGUGUGU
Amblyraja radiata (thorny skate) is the source of this 669-nucleotide long non-coding RNA. RefSeq lists it as uncharacterized. The transcript is spliced from 3 exons. NCBI's taxonomy places the organism in Eukaryota, Metazoa, Chordata, Chondrichthyes, Rajiformes, Rajidae. The record is from RefSeq and is a predicted model, not a curated record.